This 497-nucleotide ribosomal RNA is filed under the name uncultured bacterium. Its description in RNAcentral is "partial 16S ribosomal RNA". It matches the Rfam family "Bacterial small subunit ribosomal RNA", at positions 28 to 507 of the family's 1533-position model. The record is from RNAcentral.
GAUGAACGCUGGCGGCGUGCCUAAUACAUGCAAGUCGAGCGAACGGACGAGAAGCUUGCUUCUCUGAUGUUAGCGGCGGACGGGUGAGUAACACGUGGAUAACCUACCUAUAAGACUGGGAUAACUUCGGGAAACCGGGGCUAAUACCGGAUAAUAUUUUGAACCGCAUGGUUCAAAAGUGAAAGACGGUCUUGCUGUCACUUAUAGAUGGAUCUGCGCUGCAUUAGCUAGUUGGUAAGGUAACGGCUUACCAAGGCAACGAUGCAUAGCCGACCUGAGAGGGUGAUCGGCCACACUGGAACUGAGACACGGUCCAGACUCCUACGGGAGGCAGCAGUAGGGAAUCUUCCGCAAUGGGCGAAAGCCUGACGGAGCAACGCCGCGUGAGUGAUGAAGGUCUUCGGAUCGUAAAACUCUGUUAUUAGGGAAGAACAUAUGUGUAAGUAACUGUGCACAUCUUGACGGUACCUAAUCAGAAAGCCACGGCUAACUACGUG